Molecule: ribosomal RNA, 492 nt
Filed under: uncultured bacterium
Lineage: Bacteria
Description: partial 16S ribosomal RNA
Rfam family: Bacterial small subunit ribosomal RNA
Source: RNAcentral
AGUGAACGCUGGCGGUAGGCCUAACACAUGCAAGUCGAACGGCAGCACAGUAAGAGCUUGCUCUUACGGGUGGCGAGUGGCGGACGAGUGAGGAAUACAUCGGAAUCUACUUUUUCGUGGGGGAUAACGUAGGGAAACUUACGCUAAUACCGCAUACGACCUACGGGUGAAAGCAGGGGAUCUUCGGACCUUGCGCGAUUGAAUGAGCCGAUGUCGGAUUAGCUAGUUGGCGGGGUAAAGGCCCACCAAGGCGACGAUCCGUAGCUGGUCUGAGAGGAUGAUCCGCCACACUGGAACUGAGACACGGUCCAGACUCCUACGGGAGGCAGCAGUGGGGAAUAUUGGACAAUGGGCGCAAGCCUGAUCCAGCCAUACCGCGUGGGUGAAGAAGGCCUUCGGGUUGUAAAGCCCUUUUGUUGGGAAAGAAAAGCAGCAGGUUAAUACCCCGCUGUUCUGACGGUACCCAAAGAAUAAGCACCGGCUAACUUCGUG